UACCCCUUGACAAUGGGCCAAGAAACACCUCAUUGGUGGUGGUAUUAUAUCAGUCAGGGGCAGAGCAGAUGACAAUCCUUUGUUCAUCCUAGUUUGAUGCCUGGCUUGGUGGCCAAAACUGUUUCAUGCCUAGGACACAAUC
Jaculus jaculus (lesser Egyptian jerboa) is the source of this 142-nucleotide small nucleolar RNA. RefSeq annotates it as small nucleolar RNA SNORA48. The record is from RefSeq and is a predicted model, not a curated record. The transcript has a single exon. NCBI's taxonomy places the organism in Eukaryota, Metazoa, Chordata, Mammalia, Rodentia, Dipodidae.